AUUGAACGCUGGCGGCAGGCCUAACACAUGCAAGUCGAGCGGAUCGGAGGGCGGGUGAGUAAUGACUAUGUAUCGGCCUGGUAGCGGGGAUAACGUCUGGAAACGGGCGCUAAUACCUCAUACCAUCAUAUGAGCCUAGGUCGCAUUAGAUAGUUGGUGGGGUAAAGGCCUACCAAGGCGACGAUCCGCAACUGGUCUGAGAGGAUGAUCAGUCACACUGGAACUGAGACACGGUCCAGACUCCUACGGGAGGCAGCAUUGGGGAAUAUUGGACAAUGGGCGAAAGCCUGAUCCAGCCAUGCCGCGUGUGUGAAGAAGGUCUUCGGAUUGUAAAGCACUUUAAGUUGGGAGGCGUUACCAACAGAAUAAGCACCGGCUAACUUCGUGCCAGCCGCCGCGGUAAUAC
Molecule: ribosomal RNA, 406 nt
Filed under: uncultured bacterium
Lineage: Bacteria
Description: partial 16S ribosomal RNA
Rfam family: Bacterial small subunit ribosomal RNA
Source: RNAcentral